Molecule: ribosomal RNA, 191 nt
Filed under: uncultured archaeon
Lineage: Archaea
Description: partial 16S ribosomal RNA
Rfam family: Archaeal small subunit ribosomal RNA
Source: RNAcentral
GGUUGAUCCUGCCGGACCUGACUGCUAUUCGGAUUGAUAUAAGCCAUGCGAGUCAUUGUAGCAAAUACAAGGCAGACGGCUCAGUAACGCGUAGUCAAUCUACCCUAUGGACGGGAAUAAUCUCGGGAAACUGAGAAUAAUGCCCGAUAGAACAUUAUGCCUGGAAUGGUUUAUGUUUCAAACGAUUUAUC